CGCAAGCCUGAUGCAGCCAUGCCGCGUGUGUGAAGAAGGCCUUCGGGUUGUAAAGCACUUUCAGUAAGGAGGAAAGGUUAAGUGUUAAUAGCACUUAGCUGUGACGUUACUUACAGAAGAAGCACCGGCUAACUCCGUGCCAGCAGCCGCGGUAAUACGGAGGGUGCGAGCGUUAAUCGGAAUUACUGGGCGUAAAGCGUACGCAGGCGGUUUGUUAAGCGAGAUGUGAAAGCCCCGGGCUCAACCUGGGAACUGCAUUUCGAACUGGCAAACUAGAGUGUGAUAGAGGGUGGUAGAAUUUCAGGUGUAGCGGUGAAAUGCGUAGAGAUCUGAAGGAAUACCGAUGGCGAAGGCAGCCACCUGGGUCAACACUGACGCUCAUGUACGAAAGCGUGGGGAGCAAACAGGAUUAGAUACCCUGGUAGUCCACGCCGUAAACGAUGUCUACUAGAAGCUCGGGUCUUCGGACUUGUUUUUCAAAGCUAACGCAUUAAGUAGACCGCCUGG
RNAcentral lists this ribosomal RNA (507 nucleotides) under Pseudoalteromonas sp. SF0936-12. RNAcentral describes it as "bacterial SSU rRNA". It matches the Rfam family "Bacterial small subunit ribosomal RNA", at positions 376 to 876 of the family's 1533-position model. Lineage: Bacteria; Pseudomonadati; Pseudomonadota; Gammaproteobacteria; Alteromonadales; Pseudoalteromonadaceae. The record is from RNAcentral.